UUGACCUCGGAUCAGGUAGGGAUACCCGCUGAACUUAAGCAUAUCAAUAAGCGGAGGAAAAGAAACCAACAGGGAUUGCCCUAGUAACGGCGAGUGAAGCGGCAACAGCUCAAAUUUGAAAUCUGGCGCAAGCCCGAAUUGUAAUUUGCAGAGGAUGCUUCUAGGCAGCGGCCGGUCUAAGUUCCUUGGAACAGGACGUCAUAGAGGGUGAGAAUCCCGUAUGUGACCGGUUGGCACCUUCCACGUAGCUCCUUCGACGAGUCGAGUUGUUUGGGAAUGCAGCUCUAAAUGGGAGGUAAAUUUCUUCUAAAGCUAAAUACCGGCCAGAGACCGAUAGCGCACAAGUAGAGUGAUCGAAAGAUGAAAAGCACUUUGGAAAGAGAGUUAAAAAGCACGUGAAAUUGUUGAAAGGGAAGCGCUUGCGACCAGACUUGUCGGCGGUGUUCCGCCGGUCUUCUGACCGGUCUACUCGCCGUCGGCAGGCCAGCAUCAUCUGGAGCCGCCGGAUAAAGGCGGAGGGAAUGUAGCUCCCCUCGGGGAGUGUUAUAGCCUUCCGUACAAUACGGCGCGCUCCGGGUGAGGUCCGCGUCUCGGCAAGGAUGCUGGCGUAAUGGUCGUAAGCGGCCCGUCUUGAAACACGGACCAAGGAGUCGAUUAUCUAUGCGAGUGUUCGGGCAUCAAACCCCUACGCGUAAUGAAAGUGAACGGAGGUGAGAACUACGGUGCAUCAUCGACCGAUCCGGAUGUCUUCGGAUGGAUUUGAGUAAGAGCAUAGCUAAUCGGACCCGAAAGAUGGUGAACUAUGCCUGAAUAGGGUGAAGCCAGAGGAAACUCUGGUGGAGGCUCGCAGCGGUUCUGACGUGCAAAUCGAUCGUCAAAUUUGGGUAUAGGGGCGAAAGACUAAUCG
RNAcentral lists this ribosomal RNA (907 nucleotides) under Neodevriesia strelitziae. RNAcentral's name for it is "eukaryotic LSU rRNA". It matches the Rfam family "Eukaryotic large subunit ribosomal RNA", at positions 1 to 937 of the family's 3401-position model. Lineage: Eukaryota; Fungi; Ascomycota; Dothideomycetes; Mycosphaerellales; Neodevriesiaceae. The record is from RNAcentral.